Molecule: long non-coding RNA, 4154 nt
Filed under: Nicotiana benthamiana
Lineage: Eukaryota; Viridiplantae; Streptophyta; Magnoliopsida; Solanales; Solanaceae
Description: long non-coding RNA (NBEN_LNC010185)
Source: RNAcentral
CAUUUCAGGUUGCUAGUCCUAGACGAACCCAACCCCUGUGUUGAGUCCCCUAAGUCAAAUGCAUCAUGAUGCAAAUAAGCGUUCCUACUAGGGAUCCAGCAUGAAGUCAAUUUAUUCUAUGUUCAAAACCUGGGUCAGUGUUCUAGACAGUGUACCCUAGCGGACAACUCGAGUCGAGUAGGGAGCAACGUACCGGUGACCUGCGCGAUCGUCCGGCUUUGUAACUUAUCCUAGCCUCUUAUUAUUUCAGGGUAUGACACUAACAGAAUAGGGAGUCUCAACCAGUAAGCACAUCCCCAGAAGUGAAGAGAGAAGGGUAUCGGCACAGUUUAUAUACAGUUUCAGAUAAUAUCAAAGCGGUAACAUUUAGCACAUUUAAGCAUGAAUUAUGUACAAAAUUCAGAUAUAACCAAAUACAACAAUUUAUCAAAGCUCAAUUUAUGAACCCUGAACAAAACGUUCUGGGUUAUUGUCCCCUGCAAAGUGUCCAGAGGUGUCACACCUCCUUUUUUCGCUAUACACCCCCGCAAAGAGGCGUAUAGGUGUUUUUCCACUUAAAGGACAAUCAGAACGAGAUUUAGUUUAUUAACUAUUCAGAGUAGUCACUUGGGAGAUUAAUGGUGUCCCAAGUCACCGGUUUCAAUCCCAAACCGAAGAAAGAUUAUGACUUUAUUAACAGUCCGCGAACCAGAAAUACGAGUAAGGAAUUCUGUUAACCCGAGAGAAGGUGUUAGGCAUUCCAGGGUUCUGUGGUUCUAGACGGUCGCUUAACUAUUGCAUUUGAUUUUAUAUGAUUUUAAUACAUGCUAACUUUGUGCCUUUUAUUUAUAUACCACUUUUACCAUUAUUUAUUAUAAAAGACUUGCGAUGUCGUGAAAACGUGUCUUUGACCACAUCAAGGUACCCAUACUCAUCGACACAUUUCGACUUCAUCAAGAUUUGUAUUUGGGUCGCAUCAAUGCACACCCGAGUUUAGUAAGAUAAAUUUAAUUAAAUCGCGCUUAAAGGUUCUAGCGUAAUAUUGUUUGGGAAAGGCUGUUGUAAUUCGCUAAACGGCCCCUCCAAAUUCGUCAUUUUUUAAUAAUCAAUUAUUGAGGGCCCCAUAUUUAUUUUUGUUCGGUGAGGCUCAUCUCUAUUUUAUUAGUAUAUUAGAUUAUUAUUUGUUUUAUAAGAAUUACAAUGUCAUGAAAAUGCGUUUCUAACCCCGUCUCCAUCAAGGAACUUGUGGUUAUCAACACAUUUUGACUUCGUCGAGAUUUGGAUUUGGGUUGCAUCAAUGCACACCCAAGAUUAAGAAGGUACUUUAAUUAUCUCAAAGAUUCUAUCGUAUUAUCACUUUGAGGAAGGCCGUGAAAUUUGCUCAACGACCCUCCUACUUUCUAAGUCAAUUAAUAUAAUUAUUUAUCGAAGGCCACGCAUUUGUUUUUGUUUGGCGAGGCUCCUCUCAACAUUUAUUAAAAUUCUAACUUAGGAGUGACUACCAAUUCUAUUGACCAGCUAUCUCUAUAAGAAGAAACCUUAAUUGCGUAAGAAUUGAAUUGUUUCGCAAAAUAGAAUUGCACUUUAGGCAGUCCAAACUCAACUAACGAGCUGGACCACUUCAUGAGCUUCUGAAAACGGCCCAAAUAUUGUGGCUGUGCAAUAGUAAGGAAAGCCCAGGUGAUAGAUGGCUACACAUGGGAUUGAAUUCUCACAAGACCAGAUCCCAUCCCAUGUGGGCUAUGGUCUGGCUGAUUUCCUUUUGUGGAAGAUUCCAACAUAUUGGGCCUAUAGCGUGAACAAUCAGGCCCAAACAAUUACACCACCUGAAUGUAUGGCUCGAGAUCGAGCCUGGGUGAUGGCAACAAAUGCAAUUCCAAAUACUUACCUAACAUGAUUGCAUUAGGCAAUUAAUAUUUUUGCCAAGGACUCAAUAGUCCUGAUCUCAGUUUAAGCAGAAAUAUGAAUUCAAACCAACACAGAAGCUCGAACUACCUUUUAAGAUGUCCCAUACUGAACUAAAGCAUACAAAACCUGAUUUCAGCUAGUAUUUAACUAUCCUAAACUCGAGUUUUAUGAGCUCAAUUUUUUUGUAUGCACAUAGCAGAGAGAUUGGUAUUUGCACAACCCAUAUUUAACAGUAUCUAUAACUCAAAUCUUGCUAUAGGAAACAAUUGUCGAAGAUGUGUACGAAAUCAAUUUAAACAAGUAAUCUACCUACAAUGAAAUUACUAAGUUUAACAGUCCAAUUAGCAUCAGUUUAGCUACAUGGCUCAACUACCAAAAUAUGCAUCACUAGUUUUAAUCCAGAGAUAUAAUUAUGAUGAACAGAUGAACUACAUAUAUUAAAUAUUAAUGCCAAAAUCAUAUCACACUUAAUCUACAACUCCAGAGCAGGUAAUUCACUUCAAUCUUGAUUCAUAUUUCCAGUGAAAUGAAGAUAUAUGGUGUCAAACUUCAGGAUAUGUACCUGGUUUUCGAAUUACAGUGAAAGAAGAAGGAGUUAGCAGAAGCAGGUGAAGCACCAGCAGUAUCCAAGAACAAUAUUCAGCAGCCCAAGGAGAAUUAAACACCAGAAACCAAUCUCAAACAAGCAACAACCAAACAAGUGUUAUUUAACACAAAACAACUUCACCAAACACUACGCGACACUCUACUCAACUACUGCAUCAACUGAAGGGCCCAAACUGAUUCAAAUAAACUCAAAAACCAACAUAAAUGGACCCAGGAAAAUAGCCAAGUCAUGACAACCAAAAUCUGAACUAGGAAGUGGUAAAUCAAAAGCGGAGAGUUGAAAGUCACUCGAUGCCUAAUGGAACAGUAACAUUUUUUGGUUUUCUUGAUUUUUUUUGUAUUUUUGGUUGUUUUUUUGAAGGCUAAUCCAGAAAAACAAAAUAAUUAGAGUCGAAAUAGUAUUUGGGAGCUAAUAGUCUAAAAAUGGCCGAAGGAAGAAGAAGACCCUUUCACAAGCAUGAGGGUAUUAAUUUAUACACAACACUAGGGUAAAGAAUCUGAUUAUUGGUUUUCUAUUUUAGUCCUUUUUUAAUUUCAGUUUGGUCCUAUUAUUUUUGACUUGCUAAACAAGCAAGUACCUCUAUUAUGCUAAAAUAUAAACUAAAGUACCAUUCUAGAAGGCCCUAGGAUGCUCUUCUAUCUACAAAACACCUACACUAUCCUUACCCUUGUUUUGGAAUUAUUAUUAUUCCAAAAACUACCCUUUUCCAUUCCUAGAAUGCCCCUCCAAUGAUCUGAAAAUUACAGUCCAAGGACAAUUUAUCCCAAUCCCCUCACCGUAGCUAGAAUUUGACUAGAGUUAAACUAAUCCAAAUAUCUUCUCAGCUAUAUCCAAUACACCUAUAUUGAUAUUACCAUAAUUAACACUAAAAGUAACUGAACAACUAACAAACUGAUAAAAUGAAAUCAAUCAAAAUCAAAUUCUAAAUCCACAGAGCAAAGAAAAACCAAAUUAACUAACGACCAAUUAUCAAAAAACAAAUUAAAACUGAAUUAUCAUUAGCAAACUAAAAGUGAAGAACAAUUAUGUCAUGAUAAAACUAAACAUACAACAGAAAAAAGGACUAUAAUGGAAUUAACAAGAACACCAUUAAACACUUAGGAAAAUGAAAGAAAUAACACAUGACAAAACUGGACGUAUGAAUUUACUGGUUGAAACAGAUGGAACGACAACGAAGAUAAAGAUAAAAUAAACUAUACGAUGAUACUUACUAUGGAAUUCAAUCGACCCUGAAAAAAUUCCCGAAACAGAUUCGUUCCCCCAACACCCUAGAUCUGCAAUUCAGGCUCUUCUGCCUGUAUUUGAGGGAUUCUGAGCAUGUUUUAUUGAUGAGGGAGGGAUGAAUGUUAUCUGGUAUUAAUUUGGUGGGGAAAAGAGGCGCCGCCGCCAUUGGGAUUCAAAGCUGGCGACUAAGGUUCGUAACUUCUAAGAGGAUUCGAUGAGUUCUUGGUGUGUUCGAACGUUUCUAGCCAUGGAUUGAGGGUGUAGGAGAUAGAGUGGUGUUGGGGUGUUCAUUUGGUAGGGAUUAGACGCCAGCUCCGCCACAGGAGGAGUUGAGGGUAUGGCGGCGGAGUCGCUAGGGUUUUGCAGAGAAUAAGUCUAAUUGGAGAGAUGAGAGAUGGGGGGGGGGGGCAUGAAUUCAAACAGUUAAAUGUUAAAA